RNAcentral lists this ribosomal RNA (274 nucleotides) under uncultured bacterium. RNAcentral describes it as "partial 16S ribosomal RNA". It matches the Rfam family "Bacterial small subunit ribosomal RNA", at positions 523 to 796 of the family's 1533-position model. The record is from RNAcentral.
AUACGGAGGGUGCAAGCGUUAUCCGGGAUCAUUGGGUUUAAAGGGUCCGUAGGCGGACUAUUAAGUCAGAGGUGAAAUCCCACAGCUCAACUGUGGAACUGCCUUUGAUACUGGUAGUCUUGAGUUAUAUGGAAGUAGAUAGAAUGUGUAGUGUAGCGGUGAAAUGCAUAGAUAUUACACAGAAUACCGAUUGCGAAGGCAGUCUACUACGUAUAUACUGACGCUAAGGGACGAAAGCGUGGGGAGCGAACAGGAUUAGAAACCCUAGUAGUCC